RNAcentral lists this long non-coding RNA (530 nucleotides) under Gadus morhua (Atlantic cod). RNAcentral's name for it is "lncRNA (ENSGMOG00000025743.1)". The record is from RNAcentral. Lineage: Eukaryota; Metazoa; Chordata; Actinopteri; Gadiformes; Gadidae.
AUGAGGGUGGAUAUCACUUUAUAGUUUAUAGGCAUUAUAUACUAAUAAGAAUCAUUGACAAAUCACAUUCCCCUUUUACCACCACAGGACGCACCUCACCAGUACCAGAGCAACAGCUGUGGGGUGUUUAUGCUGAUGUACGCAAUGUAUUCUACCCUCAAAAGCAAUAUGAUUUCAGUGAGGGGGACAUGCUCUCUAUCAGGAGGUGGUGGUUGGACAGCUGUUGGAGACCUUUAUGCUUGAAAGGUUUAUAUACUGUGUCCAUGUUGCUAUUUACUUAUUUUUGGUGCUCACGAAGAUCGUAGCCAAUACACUUGUCUCUCUGUCUCUAGCCCUGCAGAACUAGCUGGCUCCUUCUCACCCUCUCCAUCUCCCCAUCUCAGUCACACCUUCCAAUCACUAAGCAGUGAAAGGUAUUACAUACUAUGUCCAUACUUUUCUAUUUACGUAUAUUCUCUCUUGCUCUUUCUCAGACUUUUGAUCGAUCAGUGAUUGCCUUUUUGUUUAAUGGUGUGGGUAGUGUUGGUCUG